AGCGAACGCUGGCGGCAGGCCUAACACAUGCAAGUCGAACGAACCUUUCGGGGUUAGUGGCGGACGGGUGAGUAACACGUGGGAACGUGCCUUUAGGUUCGGAAUAACUCAGGGAAACUUGUGCUAAUACCGAAUGUGCCCUUCGGGGGAAAGAUUAAUCGCCUUUAGAGCGGCCCGCGUCUGAUUAGCUAGUUGGUUGAGGUAAUGGCUCACCAAGGCGACGAUCAGUAGCUGGUCUGAGAGGAUGAUCAGCAACAUUGGGACUGAGACACGGCCCAAACUCCUACGGGAGGCAGCAGUGGGGAAUCUUGCGCAAUGGGCGAAAGCCUGACGCAGCCAUGCCGCGUGAAUGAUGAAGGUCUUAGGAUUGUAAAAUUCUUUCACCGGGGACGAUAAUGACGGUACCCGGAGAAGAAGCCCCGGCUAACUUCGUG
RNAcentral lists this ribosomal RNA (434 nucleotides) under uncultured bacterium. RNAcentral's name for it is "partial 16S ribosomal RNA". It matches the Rfam family "Bacterial small subunit ribosomal RNA", at positions 29 to 507 of the family's 1533-position model. The record is from RNAcentral.